UUAGGUCUGGAUCACCUCCUUAAGUCUUGGAUCCCGGGGGUCCGACCACUGCAUUGAAAUCUUGCUCUCAAGAACUUAACGGCGGACGGGUGAGUAACACGUGGGUAACCUGCCCAUAAGACUGGGAUAACUCCGGGAAACCGGGGCUAAUACCGGAUAAUAUUUUGAACUGCAUGGUUCGAAAUUGAAAGGCGGCUUCGGCUGUCACUUAUGGAUGGACCCGCGUCGCAUUAGCUAGUUGGUGAGGUAACGGCUCACCAAGGCAACGAUGCGUAGCCGACCUGAGAGGGUGAUCGGCCACACUGGGACUGAGACACGGCCCAGACUCCUACGGGAGGCAGCAGUAGGGAAUCUUCCGCAAUGGACGAAAGUCUGACGGAGCAACGCCGCGUGAGUGAUGAAGGCUUUCGGGUCGUAAAACUCUGUUGUUAGGGAAGAACAAGUGCUAGUUGAAUAAGCUGGCACCUUGACGGUACCUAACCAGAAAGCCACGGCUAACUACGUGCCAGCAGCCGCGGUAAUACGUAGGUGGCAAGCGUUAUCCGGAAUUAUUGGGCGUAAAGCGCGCGCANGUGGUUUCUUAAGUCUGAUGUGAAAGCCCACGGCUCAACCGUGGAGGGUCAUUGGAAACUGGGAGACUUGAGUGCANAAGAGGAAAGUGGAAUUCCAUGUGUAGCGGUGAAAUGCUUAAAGAUAUGGAGGAACCCCAUGGGCGAAGGCGACUUUCUGGUUCUGUACUGACACUGAAGGCCCAAAACCGUGGGGACCAAACAGGAUUAAAUCCCCGGUUAAUCCACCCGUAAAACAUUAUUGGUAGUUGUUAAAGGGUUCCCCCCUUUAUGCUUAAAGUAACCCUUUACCCCC
RNAcentral lists this ribosomal RNA (864 nucleotides) under Bacillus sp. SlC43. RNAcentral's name for it is "bacterial SSU rRNA". It matches the Rfam family "Bacterial small subunit ribosomal RNA", at positions 1 to 867 of the family's 1533-position model. The record is from RNAcentral. Lineage: Bacteria; Bacillati; Bacillota; Bacilli; Caryophanales; Bacillaceae.